RNAcentral lists this ribosomal RNA (253 nucleotides) under uncultured bacterium. RNAcentral's name for it is "partial 16S ribosomal RNA". It matches the Rfam family "Bacterial small subunit ribosomal RNA", at positions 524 to 776 of the family's 1533-position model. The record is from RNAcentral.
UACAGAGGGCUCAAGCGUUGUUCGGAUUCAUUGGGCGUAAAGGGUGCGUAGGUGGCGCCGUAAGUCAGGUGUGAAAUUUCGGAGCUUAACUCCGAAACUGCAUUUGAUACUGCGGUGCUUGAGGACUGGAGAGGAGACUGGAAUUUACGGUGUAGCAGUGAAAUGCGUAGAGAUCGUAAGGAAGACCAGUGGCGAAGGCGGGUCUCUGGACAGUUCCUGACACUGAGGCACGAAGGCCAGGGGAGCAAACGGG